AGAGUUUGAUCAUGGCUCAGGGCUAACGCUGGCGGCGUGUCUUAGCCAUGCAAGUCGAGCGGACUUAUGGGGUAACUUAUAAGUCAGCGGCGGACGGCGGAGUAACACGUAGCUAACCUACCCUCUGGACGGGGAUAACCUACCGAAAGGUGGGCUAAUACCCGAUGUAGUCAUCCUGUAUAGGGGUGAUGAAAGGUGGGCUUCUGUUUACAAGCUCAUGCUGGAGGAGGGGGCUGCGGCCUAUCAGGUAGUUGGUAGGGUAAUAGCCUACCAAGCCGAUGACGGGUAGCCGGCCUGAGAGGGUGACCGGCCCGAGGGGCACUGAGAUACGGGUCCCACUCCUACGGGAGGCAGCAGGCUAGAAAUUUGGGCAAUGGGGGAAACCCUGACCCAGUGACGCCGCGUGCAGGAAGGAGCCCUUCGGGGUGUAAACUGCUGUCGUGUAGGGAGAAGGGUACUAAGGUGAACAAUCUUAGUACUUGACGGUACUACAGGAGGAAGCCCAGGCUAACCUCGUGCCAGCAGCCGCGGUAAUACGGGGUGGGCGAGCGUUGCCCGGAAUUACUGGGUUUAAAGGGGGUGUAGGCGGUCUGGAUAGUCGGGUGUGUAAUGCAAUCGCUCAACGAUUGAGCUGCAUCUGAUACUUCCAGGCUAGAGGGCGGUAGAGGAGAGCGGAACUCCCGGUGUAGCGGUGGAAUGCGUAGAUAUCGGGAGGAACGCCGGUGGCGAAGGCGGCUCUCUGGGCCGUUCCUGACGCUGAGGCCCGAAAGCUGGGGGAGCGAAAGGGAUUAGAUACCCCUGUAGUCCCAGCCGUAAACGAUGGGCACUAGGUGUACCUUUUAACGGAGGUAUACCGUCGGGAAACCAAUAAGUGCCCCACCUGGGGAGUACGCCCGCAAGGGUGAAACUCAAAUGAAUUGACGG
RNAcentral lists this ribosomal RNA (924 nucleotides) under bacterium enrichment culture clone L55B-83. RNAcentral describes it as "bacterial SSU rRNA". It matches the Rfam family "Bacterial small subunit ribosomal RNA", at positions 8 to 916 of the family's 1533-position model. The record is from RNAcentral.